This 71-nucleotide transfer RNA is filed under the name Marmota monax (woodchuck). Its description in RNAcentral is "tRNA.Ala". Lineage: Eukaryota; Metazoa; Chordata; Mammalia; Rodentia; Sciuridae. The record is from RNAcentral.
GGGGUUGUAGCUCAGUGGUAGAGUCCUUGCCUAGCAUGUAUGAGGCACUGGGUUUGAUUCACAGCACUACA